UACACAUGCAAGUCGAACGGCAGCACAGGAGAGCUUGCUCUCUGGGUGGCGAGUGGCGGACGGGUGAGGAAUAUAUCGGAAUCUACCCUUUCGUGGGGGAUAACGUAGGGAAACUUACGCUAAUACCGCAUACGAACUGAGGUUGAAAGCGGCGGACCGCAAGGCGUCGCGCGGAUGGAUGAGCCGAUAUCCGAUUAGCUAGUUGGCGGGGUAAAGGCCCACCAAGGCGACGAUCGGUAGCUGGUCUGAGAGGAUGAUCAGCCACACUGGAACUGAGACACGGUCCAGACUCCUACGGGAGGCAGCAGUGGGGAAUAUUGGACAAUGGGCGCAAGCCUGAUCCAGCCAUGCCGCGUGUGUGAAGAAGGCCUUCGGGCUGUAAAGCACUUUUGUUGGGAAAGAAAAGCGGUCGGUUAAUACCCGGUCGUUCUGACGGUACCCAAAGAAUAAGCACCGGCUAACUCUGUGCCAGCAGCCGCGGUAAUACAGAGGGUGCAAGCGUUAAUCGGAAUUACUGGGCGUAAAGCGCACGCAGGCGGUUGGUUAAGUCAGAUGUGAAAGCCCCGGGCUCAACCUGGGAAUUGCAUUUGAAACUGGCCAACUAGAGUAUGUGAGAGGGGGGUAGAAUUCCAAGUGUAGCGGUGAAAUGCGUAGGGAUUUGGAGGAAUACCAGUGGCGAAGGCGGCCCCCUGGCACAAUACUGACGCUCAGGUGCGAAAGCGCGGGGAGCAAACAGGAUUAGAUACCCUGGUAGUCCACGCCGUANACGAUGUCUACUAGCUGUUCGUGGUCUUGUACUGUGAGUAGCGCAGCUAACGCACUAAGUAGACCGCCUGGGGAGUACGGUCGCAAGAUUAAAACUCAAAUGAAUUGACGGGGGCCCGCACAAGCGGUGGAGCAUGUGGUUUAAUUCGACGCAACGCGAAGAACCUUACCUA
Molecule: ribosomal RNA, 938 nt
Filed under: uncultured Gammaproteobacteria bacterium
Lineage: Bacteria; Pseudomonadati; Pseudomonadota; Gammaproteobacteria
Description: bacterial SSU rRNA
Rfam family: Bacterial small subunit ribosomal RNA
Source: RNAcentral